GGGGUUGUGGCUCAGUGGUAGAGCGCUUGCCUUGUGUAUGUGAGGCACUGGGUUCAAUUCCCCUCAGCACCA
This 72-nucleotide transfer RNA is filed under the name Ictidomys tridecemlineatus (thirteen-lined ground squirrel). RNAcentral describes it as "Spermophilus tridecemlineatus (thirteen-lined ground squirrel) tRNA". It matches the Rfam family "tRNA". Rfam says of the family: Transfer RNA (tRNA) molecules are approximately 80 nucleotides in length. Their secondary structure includes four short double-helical elements and three loops (D, anti-codon, and T loops). Lineage: Eukaryota; Metazoa; Chordata; Mammalia; Rodentia; Sciuridae. The record is from Rfam by way of RNAcentral.